UGGGGAAUAUUGCACAAUGGGCGCAAGCCUGAUGCAGCCAUGCCGCGUGUAUGAAGAAGGCCUUCGGGUUGUAAAGUACUUUCAGCGGGGAGGAAGGGAGUAAAGUUAAUACCUUUGCUCAUUGACGUUACCCGCAGAAGAAGCACCGGCUAACUCCGUGCCAGCAGCCGCGGUAAUACGGAGGGUGCAAGCGUUAACCGGAAUUACUGGGCGUAAAGCGCACGCAGGCGGUUUGUUAAGUCAGAUGUGAAAUCCCCGGGCUCAACCUGGGAACUGCAUCUGAUACUGGCAAGCUUGAGUCUCGUAGAGGGGGGUAGAAUUCCAGGUGUAGCGGUGAAAUGCGUAGAGAUCUGGAGGAAUACCGGUGGCGAAGGCGGCCCCCUGGACGAAGACUGACGCUCAGGUGCGAAAGCGUGGGGAGCAAACAGG
This 429-nucleotide ribosomal RNA is filed under the name Chloroflexota bacterium. RNAcentral describes it as "Chloroflexi bacterium partial 16S ribosomal RNA". It matches the Rfam family "Bacterial small subunit ribosomal RNA", at positions 355 to 776 of the family's 1533-position model. The record is from RNAcentral. Lineage: Bacteria; Bacillati; Chloroflexota.